UGCUUUGUUGUGUGUGCGUGAGGCGCGGGCGCGAUCAAAUAGCUGUCUUUGCAGGGGACUUCCCUCAUUGUCAUGGAAACGGUUCGUUAACAGGUCAGAUUACGUCAGAGUUGGUUGCCGUCUGUUGGAAAACUGUUCACACCGCGCAGACAUUCCACGACCCGACAAACGCCGAUUAAACAUGUUCAGUCGGGUGAAAACCAAUUCCGACCAACGCCAACAACGGCCAACAAACGCCAACAGGGGUAUCACACCAAACCAACAAACUCCAACAGACGAGUUUGUUGGCGUUUGUUGGCCGUCGUCGGGGCGGUGUGAAUUGUCCUAAAAGGUUUAUUAAUUUAGAGUCAGUCUGUUGUUCGUUAUCUGGCUCGGCUCGGUGUUCAUCAGUUCUCUCUUCACAGCAGUUCAGUCAGUGUACUGUUUGAGUACAUGAAUUACUCGGGGAUAUUGGUUUGUUUGAACUCAGAGGGAGUGUCAGCCACAUUAAAAAAGUUAACAGCUUAAGUCAUUUGUGGAUUAAUGCGUAUUGGAGACGCGAACCGUUUAAAACGAUUCAGUUCGAUUUGGUGAACUGGUUCAAAAAGAUCCGGUUACAUCGAAUGAUUCGUUCGCGAACCGGAUAUCACAAACUGCUUUGUUUUGAACUCUCUCUCACAACAGACACGGAAAAGAAGAAAAUGCUGAAUAAAGUCGUAGUUUUUGCUAUUUUUGGACCAAAAUGUUUUUUCGAUGCUUCAAAAAAUUCUAACUGACCCUCUGAUGUCACAUGGACUACUUUGAUGAUGUUUUUCUUACCUUUCUGGACACACAGAGAGCUCUUGGACUAACUUAAAUCUAAAAUAUCUUAAACUGUGUUCCAAAGAUAAACGGAGGUCUUACGGGUUUGGAACAACAUGAGGGCAACCCUCACAGGGAAAGGAAAAAAAGGCGAGCUGAAGGAGCAGCUUGAGCCAGAAAAAAACAACGCAAUUUUAGAUGCAGUGAGGGAGCGAUUCCCCAACACCGAGGUGGCAGAGAUCCGGGCCCUUCUACGGAGGAAGUGCAACAAUGAGAGCUAAAAGGCCUCUAGUAACUCAAGUCAGAGCUACAGGUGCUGGUCAUAUAAUUAGAAUAUCGUGAAAAAGUUCAUUUUUUUUAUUGUAAAUUAUUUUUAAAAAUGAAACUUUCAUAUAUUCUAGAUUCCCUACAUGUAAAGUAAAA
Long non-coding RNA from Megalobrama amblycephala (Wuchang bream), 1203 nucleotides. RefSeq lists it as uncharacterized. The record is from RefSeq and is a predicted model, not a curated record. NCBI's taxonomy places the organism in Eukaryota, Metazoa, Chordata, Actinopteri, Cypriniformes, Xenocyprididae. The transcript is spliced from 3 exons.